GGACACGCAGGCUCAGCGGCCAUGGCUCACGGGUCCAGUGGCUCCACAGCAUGUGGGAUCCUCCAGGACUGGGGCACAAACCCGUGUCCCCUGCAUCGGCAGGUGGACUCUCAACCACUGCGCCACCAGAGAAGACCUAUACACUCUUUUUAAGCUCUUUAAUCUGUCUGGAUUUCAUUUUUACAUGCCAAACAAGUAAGUGUGAAAUAGUGUCCCAUGGUGGAUUUGAUUUGCAUUUACCAAGU
Molecule: long non-coding RNA, 245 nt
Organism: Mesoplodon densirostris (Blainville's beaked whale)
Lineage: Eukaryota; Metazoa; Chordata; Mammalia; Artiodactyla; Ziphiidae
Exons: 3
Source: RefSeq, a predicted model, not a curated record